This 382-nucleotide ribosomal RNA is filed under the name uncultured bacterium. RNAcentral's name for it is "bacterial SSU rRNA". It matches the Rfam family "Bacterial small subunit ribosomal RNA", at positions 28 to 412 of the family's 1533-position model. The record is from RNAcentral.
GACGAACGCUGGCGGCGUGCUUAACACAUGCAAGUCGAGCGGUAAGGCCCUUUCGGGGGUACACGAGCGGCGAACGGGUGAGUAACACGUGGGUGACCUGCCCUCAGCUCUGGGAUAAGCCUGGGAAACCGGGUCUAAUACUGGAUAUGACCCCAUGACGCAUGUUGUGGGGUGAAAGCCUUGUGCGGCUGAGGAUGGGCCCGCGGCCUAUCAGCUUGUUGGUGGGGUNAUGGCCUACCAAGGCGACGACGGGUAGCCGGCCUGAGAGGGCGACCGGCCACACUGGGACUGAGACACGGCCCAGACUCCUACGGGAGGCAGCAGUGGGGAAUCUUGCGCAAUGGGCGAAAGCCUGACGCAGCGACGCCGCGUGAGGGAUGAC